RNAcentral lists this unclassified non-coding RNA (367 nucleotides) under Hevea brasiliensis (rubber tree). The record is from RNAcentral. Lineage: Eukaryota; Viridiplantae; Streptophyta; Magnoliopsida; Malpighiales; Euphorbiaceae.
GGGAAAUUCAUGUUUGGUGUGUGUAGGCCAAUUUGACCAGUAGGUUGAGCUCCACCAGAAUAAACUGAAGGUGCGGCUACAGCCUGUGGGAAUGUCCCGCUCGGAAAACCACUGCUUACAUGGGUCGCAGGUGACUGGGAUGCCAAAAGUGCAGGAUUUGCAUAGGAUUGCUGACUGCUAGCGGCAUAACCGUUGGCAGAAGAAUCCUGGUUAUUUGCAACGGCGGGAGCAUAGGUGAGACCGCCCAGUGGAUCCCCAAAACCAAAGCUCGGACUGGUUUCCAUUUGGGGGGCUACUGGAUGGAGUGAUCCAGAACCAGAGGAGUGGCCUAAGCUAGACUGGAAAGAAGUGGCAGGAGUGAAAUUCU